Long non-coding RNA from Stegostoma tigrinum, 532 nucleotides. RefSeq lists it as uncharacterized. The transcript has 3 exons. The record is from RefSeq and is a predicted model, not a curated record. Lineage: Eukaryota; Metazoa; Chordata; Chondrichthyes; Orectolobiformes; Stegostomatidae.
CAGAAGAUGCUGCAUUUGUGAUGUUUGGAAGAUGGUUCCCUAAAAAAAAGCAUAUUAUUCUAGGGCUAAAAUUUAGGUGCGUGCUUCCCUUUAAAACCAUGUGUUCGAUAAUCAUUGAGAGAUCCUUGACUUUAUAUAUGAGAAGAUCAGUGAAGUGUCUAUAUAUUCUGCUGGUUGGGUUUUCCUGACAGGAAUAUUAGCCAAAUCGGAUCUGUAGCCCAAGGAGAAACAGACUGGGCUAUUUCAGGUGUAGUUUAUGCAAACACAGAAUGAAGACCCUCUUUACCCUGGGUGAUCCAUUCCAGUCUGUCUUCAAAACAAAGUCCUAUGAACAUGUUCUGUGCUGUAUCUGGAAAGUCUUUCAAUGGAAAUGAGAAAUGAUUAACACACGCAACAUGAUAGUGGAUGUAAGAUUAACUGCUUCUCUACAUGCCCGCUCUUUUUUAAAUAAUAAAAAUAGAUCUGGGCAACUCCUUAGCAACAGUUGCAUGUUAAACAAAGUCAAAAUAAGAAUUGGCUAUGUUUCUUUUGU